AAUCAGGAGAUUGGGCCUCGACGUGAAA
Molecule: small RNA, 28 nt
Filed under: Bombyx mori (domestic silkworm)
Lineage: Eukaryota; Metazoa; Arthropoda; Insecta; Lepidoptera; Bombycidae
Description: ovarian small RNA-10772
Source: RNAcentral